This 301-nucleotide ribosomal RNA is filed under the name uncultured bacterium. RNAcentral's name for it is "partial 16S ribosomal RNA". It matches the Rfam family "Bacterial small subunit ribosomal RNA", at positions 509 to 807 of the family's 1533-position model. The record is from RNAcentral.
CAGCAGCCGCGGUAAUACGAAGGGGGCUAGCGUUGCUCGGAAUUACUGGGCGUAAAGGGAGCGUAGGCGGAUGUUUAAGUCAGAGGCGAAAGCCCAGGGCUCAACCUUGGAACUGCCUUUGAUGCUGGACAUCUUGAGUGUGGGAGAGGUAAGCGGAACUCCGAGUGUAGAGGUGAAAUUCGUAGAUAUUCGGAAGAACACCAGUGGCGAAGGCGGCUUACUGGCCCAUUACUGACGCUGAGGCUCGAAAGCGUGGGGAGCAAACAGGAUUAGAUACCCCUGUAGUCCCUGUCUCUUAUAC